This 36-nucleotide non-coding RNA is filed under the name Trypanosoma brucei brucei. Lineage: Eukaryota; Euglenozoa; Kinetoplastea; Trypanosomatida; Trypanosomatidae. The record is from RNAcentral.
ACAUAUAAGGUAAGCAAGAGAUGAAGGUAAAUUAAA